Molecule: ribosomal RNA, 115 nt
Organism: Echinops telfairi (small Madagascar hedgehog)
Lineage: Eukaryota; Metazoa; Chordata; Mammalia; Afrosoricida; Tenrecidae
Source: Ensembl
GUCUACAGCCAUACCACCCUGAACGCCCCCAAUCUCGUCUGAUCUUGGAAGCUAAGCAGGGUUGGGCCUGGUUAAUACUUGGAUGGGAGAAAGAAGUUAACAAGAGCAUUGCACA